CCUACGGGAGGCAGCAGUAAGGAAUAUUGGACAAUGGACGCAAGUCUGAUCCAGCCAUGCCGCGUGAAGGAUUAAGGCCCUCUGGGUUGUAAACUUCUUUUAUAGGGGACGAAAAAAGGGACUUUCUAGCUCGACUGACGGUACCCUAUGAAUAAGCACCGGCUAACUCCGUGCCAGCAGCCGCGGUAAUACGGAGGGUGCAAGCGUUAUCCGGAUUCACUGGGUUUAAAGGGUGCGUAGGCGGGUAGGUAAGUCAGUGGUGAAAUCUUCGAGCUCAACUCGGAAACUGCCAUUGAUACUAUUUAUCUUGAAUAUUGUGGAGGUGAGCGGAAUAUGUCAUGUAGCGGUGAAAUGCUUAGAUAUGACAUAGAACACCAAUUGCGUAGGCAGCUCGCUACACAUAUAUUGACGCUGAGGCACGAAAGCGUGGGGGAUCAAACAGGAUUAGAUACCCUGGUAGUCCACGCCCUAAACCUAUGAUUACUCGACAUAUGCGAUACACUGUUAUGUGUNUGNGNGAAGACAUAAGUAAUACACCGACGGAGGUACGACCGACGAGUAGUAACGUACGAAGAAGUAGUAGACGACGNGAGAGCGACGACGGACGACGACGGAGGGAGGAGG
RNAcentral lists this ribosomal RNA (624 nucleotides) under uncultured bacterium. RNAcentral's name for it is "bacterial SSU rRNA". The stretch from base 1 to 538 matches the Rfam family "Bacterial small subunit ribosomal RNA", at positions 338 to 873 of the family's 1533-position model. The record is from RNAcentral.